GAUGAACGCUGGCGGCGUGCUUAACACAUGCAAGUCGAACGGAAAGGCCCAAGCUUGCUUGGGUACUCGAGUGGCGAACGGGUGAGUAACACGUGGGUGAUCUGCCCUGCACUUCGGGAUAAGCCUGGGAAACUGGGUCUAAUACCGGAUAGGACCACGUCUUGGAUGUUGUGGUGGAAAGUUUUUUCGGUGUGGGAUGAGCUCGCGGCCUAUCAGCUUGUUGGUGGGGUAAUGGCCUACCAAGGCGUCGACGGGUAGCCGGCCUGAGAGGGUGUACGGCCACAUUGGGACGGAGAUACGGCCCAGACUCCUACGGGAGGCAGCAGUGGGGAAUAUUGCACAAUGGGCGCAAGCCUGAUGCAGCGACGCCGCGUGGGGGAUGACGGCCUUCGGGUUGUAAACUCCUUUCGCUAGGGACGAAGCGUUUUUGUGACGGUACCUGGAGAAGAAGCACCGGCUAACUACGUG
Molecule: ribosomal RNA, 468 nt
Filed under: uncultured bacterium
Lineage: Bacteria
Description: partial 16S ribosomal RNA
Rfam family: Bacterial small subunit ribosomal RNA
Source: RNAcentral